AUCUACGGCCAUACCACCCAGAACGCACCUGAUCUCCGAAGCUAAGCAGGGUUGGGCCUGGUUAGUACGUGGAUGGGAGUCUGCCUGGGAAUACGGGGUGCUGUAGGCU
Ribosomal RNA from Bos indicus x Bos taurus (hybrid cattle), 109 nucleotides. Lineage: Eukaryota; Metazoa; Chordata; Mammalia; Artiodactyla; Bovidae. The record is from Ensembl.